RNAcentral lists this ribosomal RNA (253 nucleotides) under uncultured bacterium. Its description in RNAcentral is "partial 16S ribosomal RNA". It matches the Rfam family "Bacterial small subunit ribosomal RNA", at positions 524 to 776 of the family's 1533-position model. The record is from RNAcentral.
UACGAGGGGUCCAAGCGUUGUUCGGAAUCAUUGGGCGUAAAGCGGGUGUAGGUGGCUUUGUAAGUCAGGAGUGAAAGCCCCGGGCUCAACCUGGGAAUGGCAAUGGAUACUGGCAAGCUAGAGUGCGGUAGAGGGUAGUGGAAUUCCCGGUGUAGCGGUGAAAUGCGUAGAGAUCGGGAGGAACACCAGUGGCGAAGGCGGCUACCUGGACCAGCACUGACACUGAGGCACGAAAGCGUGGGGAGCAAACAGG